RNAcentral lists this ribosomal RNA (229 nucleotides) under uncultured bacterium. RNAcentral's name for it is "partial 16S ribosomal RNA". It matches the Rfam family "Bacterial small subunit ribosomal RNA", at positions 568 to 796 of the family's 1533-position model. The record is from RNAcentral.
UACGUAGGCGGAAAAUUAAGUCAGUAGUGAAAUCCUGCAGCUUAACUGUAGAACUGUUAUUGAUACUGGUUUUCUUGAAUAUAGUUGAGGUAAGCGGAAUGUGUAAUGUAGCGGUGAAAUGCUUAGAUAUUACACAGAACACCGAUUGCGAAGGCAGCUUACUAAGCUAUGAUUGACGCUGAGGUACGAAAGCGUGGGGAGCGAACAGGAUUAGAUACCCUGGAAGUCC